This is a long non-coding RNA of Benincasa hispida (wax gourd), 768 nucleotides long. RefSeq lists it as uncharacterized. NCBI's taxonomy places the organism in Eukaryota, Viridiplantae, Streptophyta, Magnoliopsida, Cucurbitales, Cucurbitaceae. The record is from RefSeq and is a predicted model, not a curated record.
AUCAUUCAACAUAUUGGAGAAGAAGAUAAUAUUCUCUUAAGAUGAUUUUAAUCUGAUAACUGGGUUAUGGCCGACCAAGAAAAUUGUAGAAAGAGAAACAAGCGGUGAAAGACUGUGACAACUCAUUCUUGGACCGAAGGACCCAAAUGAUAAGGAUAGUUCUUGCAAGGACGUGAAUAAUGUGUCCGAGAAGUUCACUUUUACAAACGAUGAAGAGGUCGUUAAGGUUGCGUUGGCAUUAUUCAUCGAAAUGAUGAUGAUUGGAAAAGACAAGAAAACCCAAUUUUAUGUGAAGACAUUUGGGAUUGUUGAUAACCUUGAAGUCUUUAGAUAUUAUGACUGGUCGUCCGUCAUUUUCAAACGUACCUUGAAUAUCAUGAAGACUAUCAUGUGCGAGAAGAAUGAGACACAUGAGACAAAAGAAAACAAAUAAUGCUCAUCAUGCCUCAUAUUAUUAUAUAAAGGGAUUUGCACUUGCAUUCCAAGUUUGGGCUUACGAACUUUUAUCCACGUCAAGUAAGUUCAUAGCCAACAAAGUCAGUAAGGUUUUAAUUCCUAGAAUUCUUAAAUGGACUUGAUCUCGUGCUUCAUCUUAUAGAUCGUUGAGUAAGAAUGUGUUUCAGCUCAAAAAAACUAUUGUUUUGACGAGACUGGUACCAAGCAUAGAGGAGAUAAGGUAAAAGGACCGGUUGGAAGGAAGAAAGAUUAAAGAGGUGAUCCAUCAUGUUGAAGGAAGAAGGAUUGAGGAGGUUGAGGAGGUUGAGGGGC